This is a long non-coding RNA of Daphnia pulex (common water flea), 446 nucleotides long. RefSeq lists it as uncharacterized. NCBI's taxonomy places the organism in Eukaryota, Metazoa, Arthropoda, Branchiopoda, Diplostraca, Daphniidae. The record is from RefSeq and is a predicted model, not a curated record. The transcript is spliced from 3 exons.
UUGACAACUUCCUGUUUGACGGUUUGAAGCAGAAGUUUAUAAGAAUCUGCGUGUGUCCUUCUUCUUUCAUUUUCCACUACGGUAAUGGCAGCUGAGACGUCGAAAAAUUUCGUGCAAAAUUGAUGUAAAUAACCUGGCGAUGGUCAGAUGAUGGGCUGAAAGUUACCAUUUUUGUGCAAUGUGCAUCAUUGUGUUCCAGGUUGGAUGAGAUCGCCCCAGGAGACAGCUAUGUUGCUUGCUAUCAUCAUACUAUGAUUGCCAAUAAGCAGGAUGUUAAAUAAGAUGCAGGCAGCUGACUCUGGGUGUUAUUCUAUUUGAAAUCUAGGUAACAAAGUAAACUUAACCACCUGAAUAUUUUUUUUUUGCUUUGAUCUAGUUGUACUACAUUAAGUGCUGUGUAACCAUGUAUGCAAGUGGAGACAGAAAAAUAAAAUUAUUGGAAGAAA